UUACCUUCGGGUAAUGAGGAUGGCGGACGGGUGAGUAACGCGUAAGGAACUUGCCUCUUGGACUGGGACAACUGUUGGAAACGACAGCUAAUACCGGAUAUUAUGAGAUUCUCGCAUGAGAAACUUAUGAAAGCUAUAUGCGCCAAGAGAGAGCCUUGCGUUCCAUUAGCUAGUUGGUGGGGUAACGGCCCACCAAGGCGACGAUGGAUAGCCGGCCUGAGAGGGUGAACGGCCACAAGGGGACUGAGACACGGCCCUUACUCCUACGGGAGGCAGCAGUGGGGAAUAUUGGACAAUGGGCCACAAGCCUGAUCCAGCAAUUCUGUGUGCACGAUGAAGGUCUUCGGAUUGUAAAGUGCUUUCAGUUGGGAAGAAGAAAGUGACGGUACCAACAGAAGAAGCGACGGCUAAAUACGUGCCAGCAGCCGCGGUAAUACGUAUGUCGCAAGCGUUAUCCGGAUUUAUUGGGCGUAAAGCGCGUCUAGGCGGAAAAAUAAGUCUGAUGUUAAAAUGCGGGGCUCAACUCCGUAUUGCGUUGGAAACUGUUUUUCUAGAGUACUGGAGAGGUGGGCGGAACUACAAGUGUAGAGGUGAAAUUCGUAGAUAUUUGUAGGAAUGCCGAUGGAGAAGUCAGCUCACUG
RNAcentral lists this ribosomal RNA (641 nucleotides) under uncultured bacterium. RNAcentral's name for it is "bacterial SSU rRNA". It matches the Rfam family "Bacterial small subunit ribosomal RNA", at positions 74 to 731 of the family's 1533-position model. The record is from RNAcentral.